RNAcentral lists this ribosomal RNA (476 nucleotides) under uncultured bacterium. Its description in RNAcentral is "bacterial SSU rRNA". It matches the Rfam family "Bacterial small subunit ribosomal RNA", at positions 917 to 1382 of the family's 1533-position model. The record is from RNAcentral.
GGGCCCGCACAAGCGGUGGAGCACGUGGUUUAAUUCGAUGCAAACCGAAGAACCUUACCUGGGUUUGACAUGCACGUGGUAGGGAGAUGAAAGUCGAACGACCUCUGUAGCGAUACAGGGGAGCGUGCACAGGUGCUGCAUGGCUGUCGUCAGCUCGUGUCGUGAGAUGUUGGGUCAAGUCCCGCAACGAGCGCAACCCCCGCGGUCGGUUGCCAUCAUUGAGUUGGGCACUCCGGCCGGACCGCCGUCGACAAGACGGAGGAAGGUGGGGACGACGUCAAGUCAUCAUGGCCUUUAUGCCCAGGGCGACACACGUGCUACAAUGGCCGGCACAACGGGAAGCCACGUGGCGACACGGAGCGGAUCCCUCAAAGCCGGUCCCAGUUCGGAUUGUGGUCUGCAACCCGACCGCAUGAAGCUGGAAUCGCUAGUAAUCGCGGAUCAGCCAAGCCGCGGUGAAUACGUUCCCGGGCCUU